CGUUACAUGACUAGUCAGCAAUAAGUAGAUAUACUAAGAAAGAAAAGAAGCCAUGAUAAUCUACAUCGACAGAGCAACUCUACGGCUGAUAAUAUCACUAGAGACUACCAUCAUUAACUAUCAGUAAGGAAUUAUGUUGAAAAGGGAUUGCAGAUUGCAGAUUUAUAUUUGGCCAAGGCAUGGUUUCGUAACUCCCAACCCAUGACAAGAAGCCGAUCCUCUGAAUUGUGUUUCCAGAACAAUGCAAAAUAUGUGAUGAAAAGUAGAGGAAUACCAGAGAAAAGCAGGGGGUAAUGAAAGUUGUGAUGAAUCGGAGGUGCAUGUAAUCAAACAACCUUGAUAGGAUCAGAGCAAGAAGAAGGAGCAACAAUAGUGGGCCGUGGAUUGCAAGAUGGUUCUCUGAAUUGUGGUACUUAUUGUGUAGUGCAUACAUUAGUCAAAAUGACAUUUGUGAAAUUUCAAUGAGAACAAUGCAAAUAUGUAUAUUAAUUGACAUCCUAUCAUUUCUACCAUUUAUCAAACAGUUUCCAGAACAAUGCAAAAUAUGUGAUGAAAAGUAGAGGAAUACCAGAGAAAAGCAGGGGGUAAUGAAAGUUGUGAUGAAUCGGAGGUGCAUGUAAUCAAACAACCUUGAUAGGAUCAGAGCAAGAAGAAGGAGCAACAAUAGUGGGCCGUGGAUUGCAAGAUGGUUCUCUGAAUUGUGGUACUUAUUGUGUAGUGCAUACAUUAGUCAAAAUGACAUUUGUGAAAUUUCAAUGAGAACAAUGCAAAUAUGUAUAUUAAUUGACAUCCUAUCAUUUCUACCAUUUAUCAAACAGUUUCCAGAACAAUGCAAAAUAUGUGAUGAAAAGUAGAGGAAUACCAGAGAAAAGCAGGGGGUAAUGAAAGUUGUGAUGAAUCGGAGGUGCAUGUAAUCAAACAACCUUGAUAGGAUCAGAGCAAGAAGAAGGAGCAACAAUAGUGGGCCGUGGAUUGCA
Molecule: long non-coding RNA, 977 nt
Organism: Juglans regia (Persian walnut)
Lineage: Eukaryota; Viridiplantae; Streptophyta; Magnoliopsida; Fagales; Juglandaceae
Exons: 4
Source: RefSeq, a predicted model, not a curated record